This is a long non-coding RNA of Coccinella septempunctata (seven-spotted ladybird), 806 nucleotides long. RefSeq lists it as uncharacterized. The record is from RefSeq and is a predicted model, not a curated record. Lineage: Eukaryota; Metazoa; Arthropoda; Insecta; Coleoptera; Coccinellidae. The transcript is spliced from 10 exons.
AUUCAGCAUUGUUAGAAGCAACAGGUAACAGUAGGAGUUGAGCGUUGAAAACCAGAUGAAACGAAGAGGAUAUGAGUCCAUGUGCUAUAGACAUAUUCACCAUCUAAGAAAGGAAGAAAGAGUUUCAAUUCAAAGUGUCGCAAUUAUUUCACAUCAAAGGUUAUAUCAGGGUUUUGAAUCGAGGAUCAUGUUAGAGCUGCUUGUAGGAUUUAUGAGGUUGCAAAUUAUGAAUCGAUCUUGGAGCUGCCUCUAUAAUUUAUGUGCACUAAGAUUGAAGCAUUUCCAAGGUUACAUUACAGCCUUCUAGUUUAUGUUUUUUGAGGGCAACAGAAAUUCAUAAUGUUGUGUGUAACUUCUAUGUUGGAUGGUGCAUCAAACUUUUCCUUGCUUGUUCCUCUCUUCAAAAGCAUCGAUUUCUUGCUUCAGUAAUCAUCAGAUUCAAGAUAGGAAGGAAAAAACUUCCCUUCAAAAUCUUAGCGCGAAGAAUCAAUAGGUUCCAAUGUUGCAGCCUUUUAGAAUAUUGCGAAGAAUCAAUCUGUUCCAAUGUUGCAGCCUUUUAGAAUAUAAAGCAGACUUCCUAUCCAGUUCAUCUGUGCAUUUUGAAUGACGAAGGUAGGAACUAUUUGAUCUUGUACAUCCAUUCAAUCUGUUCAGACCAAUUCCCCUUUCGCCCUCAGUGUAGCCUUAAUUUGUGGCUACUCAUGAACCUUUAUGUGGGAAAUAAAAAAAUUCUCUAUUAAAACUCACGAUGUCUACUUGUUAGUCAUAUGUGAAUCCUGUCUAAAGAAACACUCCAUAAAACAUAU